RNAcentral lists this ribosomal RNA (466 nucleotides) under uncultured bacterium. Its description in RNAcentral is "bacterial SSU rRNA". It matches the Rfam family "Bacterial small subunit ribosomal RNA", at positions 917 to 1382 of the family's 1533-position model. The record is from RNAcentral.
GGGCCCGCACAAGCGGUGGAGCAUGUGGUUUAAUUCGACGCAACGCGCAGAACCUUACCAGCCCUUGACAUGCCCGUCGGGAGAUCCAGAGAUGGGUCUUUUCAUUUAGUUGGACGGUGCACAGGUGCUGCAUGGCUGUCGUCAGCUCGUGUCGUGAGAUGUUGGGUUAAGUCCCGCAACGAGCGCAACCCUCGCCUUCAGUUGCCAUCAUUUAGUUGGGCACUCUGAAGGGACUGCCGGUGACAAGCCGGAGGAAGGUGGGGAUGACGUCAAGUCCUCAUGGCCCUUACGGGCUGGGCUACACACGUGCUACAAUGGCGGUGACAAUGGGACGCGAAAGCGCAAGCCGGAGCAAAUCCCAAAAAUCCGUCUCAGUUCGGAUUGCACUCUGCAACUCGAGUGCAUGAAGUCGGAAUCGCUAGUAAUCGCGCAACAGCAUGGCGCGGUGAAUACGUUCCCGGGCCUU